RNAcentral lists this long non-coding RNA (301 nucleotides) under Oryctolagus cuniculus (rabbit). RNAcentral describes it as "lncRNA (ENSOCUG00000034598.1)". The record is from RNAcentral. Lineage: Eukaryota; Metazoa; Chordata; Mammalia; Lagomorpha; Leporidae.
ACCUGGCAUCAGAGACACCAGAGUUACAGCUUAAUUUCCUAGAGCCUGACUUCAGAUGACAACUCCCAGAGGACGCCUUUGCUUUCAGAAAAUCUGGCUUUGGGCUGAAAAAUUCAGACUGGCAUUCAACUGCCCGGAUUUAGCACCACCUGGAGAAAUAGACUCUACAGCUAUCAAGAAACCAGGCUCAGUCUUUGCACCUACCUGUGUGACCUUGGAAGUACAAAAGGCGGCAGAUACUAUGGAUGUAGAAUGUGAGACUCCAGUUCUUACCCAGCUGCGUCUUUGUGACUUCAAGUAA